This 1055-nucleotide long non-coding RNA is filed under the name Scleropages formosus (Asian bonytongue). RNAcentral's name for it is "lncRNA (ENSSFOG00015029997.1)". The record is from RNAcentral. Lineage: Eukaryota; Metazoa; Chordata; Actinopteri; Osteoglossiformes; Osteoglossidae.
CAAAUAACUCCCGUUCGCCGCUUAAAACAGCCUGUUUAGGUCAUUAUGACGUCACACCUGUUUCUAAAUAUUUACGAUGUCAAUCACAUCCAUUUUAGCCGAUCAAAAAAGCGCCACUUAAAGCGCCCACGUCGCCGCGCCUUUAAUAUCGUGGCCAAUAGGAAACGCCCCCUCAACUGUUUUUUAUUUUGGCUGAAGUAGGACCCAGGAAGCUGUCGCUCGCUCAUAUGCCUGAGGUUUAUAAAGCAUUUUGCCCGAUGUUUCAAUAAACUGUUAGAUGUUAAUGCAGUACUUAACAUGUCUUUUUUUUGCGAAACUCAACACAGGAAACGAACAUGAGAAAAGCUGCUUCUACGUUUGUAAACUUACAAUGACAGGUGGUAUUGCAUAACUUCAUGUAGUAAAAAUGUUUCUUAAACGUCCACCGUUCUGUGCAUACUUGUCAAAUUGCUCAAAUAUAUACGUGGUUUAGAAGAACAGUUAUAGAAGUUGGUUGUGGUGACGCGAACAUUAAAAAUAAUGUGACAUACUGGUAGUAAUUGCAGUGGAAUAACUGCUUGAUUGUUACGAUUGACAUCAGCUAUACUCCACAUUCAAGUCUGCACAUGCGUUCAUUGUUAUUGUCAUGGACACAGUUGGUUUCUUCAAAUUAGCUUUGAAAUUAUAAUAACUAUAUGUAGAGGGUUAGGUCCGAAAGGAAAGGAUGAGAAAACUCAGAUCGUUAAAGUGAGGGGAAAAAAGUACACGCUCUUUUUUCCGAAGAGAAGACUUUGGACAGGAUCGCCGCGACAUGUCGGCGCACGUGCGCGCGAGUAGGCUGCGUGCGCGCGGAUCAGGCGAACGCCAUGGGCCUCCCGUCGUGACCGCGGCGGCACUCCGUCGGGUCCUGUUAGGCAGCCCGUGCGGGGCUGUGCCGGAGACCCCGUGCCGCCUGCAUCUCUGUCGUCUCGGUUGACAUGGAUGAUGAAGAUGGCAGGUGCUUGUUAGAUGUAAUUUGGUAAGUGUUUGCUCUCUCUUUCUAUUAUUUUGCAGCUUAUAUGGAGAAAACAUAAUCA